Long non-coding RNA from Salvelinus namaycush (lake trout), 3495 nucleotides. RefSeq lists it as uncharacterized. The transcript has 3 exons. NCBI's taxonomy places the organism in Eukaryota, Metazoa, Chordata, Actinopteri, Salmoniformes, Salmonidae. The record is from RefSeq and is a predicted model, not a curated record.
CGCACCAACCUUCUGAUGGCAGCAAAACAACGAGUGAGGGGAAUACUGAGUUGUGUCAAGUCGACUACAGCAUAAUAAUAAUCCGUUUGCUGAAUACAUGAAGAUCGACUCUCCAGUCGAAAGUAUUUGUAAACAUACAUGAUUAGCGCUUCGACUUGGCAAUCGCCCAUCAUAAAACAGGACCCCAAGCUGUCGGACGCACCGUUGAGUAUACCCGCUUAUUCACAUGUAGAUUCGAUAAAAACACAUUUACUAACAUAAAUCCCAACAUAAUAACACCACAUAUACUCACUCCAAAAGUCUACUGCUGUUGUAGCAAUGUGUGGAUUCGUUUACUUUGGUUAUCAGACGAAAUAUUGAUGUGUGCCUGUGUCACCCAGUGGCAGUGAGGCGAACAACUACAAUUUGAACUUCCGGCCCGUGGAAAUUGACGUCACGACCAAUGGAGUUUAUGAUAUGUAUGGCCCCCUCUUGUGGACGGACAUACACGUUUCAGUUUCAAGUUUUACUUGUCACAAAUACAGUGAAAUGUUUAACUUGCAAGCCCUAACCAACAGUGCAGGAUUCAAUAUAAAAUAGUAUAACUAAUACAAAAUGUAGAACACAAGAAAUAAGAGAGGAAGCUAUAUACAGGGUCAGUGCCAGUACCAAAUGUACAAUGUGAAGGGAUACUGGAGUAUUUGAGGUAGAUAUGUACAUGUACUGUAGGCAAGUGUUGCGAGAUAACUCAAUCCGUUGGAAUACUGUGAGACAAGCAUUUAUAUAAAAGACCACUCCGUAAGCCACGCCCCAGUGGGCAGAGCUAGGCAUGUUGCACUUAGACACGUUUUAAUACAAAAAGCCUCUACUUUUACAAUGCGUCUUCCACAUGGCAGGAUUAGAUACAGAUGGGUAAACAGAUAAGAUUUACUAAGGUCCCAGCCCAUAUUGGGGUGGAGGGGAACAAGGCAGGCAGUUGAUGUACUGGCUAAACAAGCACAUAGAAGUGGGGAUGUUGAUGUCGUAGUUUCAAUGGGCAAGACAGAGGCAAAAAGCCUGAUAUGGACAGUAAUGGUGCAGAGAUGGCAGUAGCAGUGGAAUAGAGAUACUAAGGGCAGGCAUUUAUUUCUAGUAAAGAGGAAAGUCGGGGAGGGGAGGACAGCAGGAAGGGACAGAAGAGAGGAGGCUAUUUUUACAAGAAUAAGGGUGGGAUACAGCCAGUUGAAUAAGACCUUACAUGUGAUAGGAAAUCAUCCAACAGGAAAGUGUGAGUAUUGCCAGGAAACAGAGACUGUGGAGCAUGUAUUGCUACAGUGUGGGCUGUAUCAGAGGGAAAGACUGAGAUCUAAUAUGAAGGAGAAGGGGAUACAGGAAAGUAGUUUAAAGAGUAUUUUGAGUAGAACGUCAUUGGAUAUAGUCUCAAAUAUUUUGUUAUCUUUUUUAAGAGUAACGGGAGCUGGCAGGUAGGAUUUCGUUUCUCGCCGUCUCUGGCCCGCACUCCAGUACAGUAGGUGGCGGUAAUGCACCAUAACGUUGGAUGCCAACGCUGAUAAACCCCACUGAAGAAGAAUGGCUCUUCAGGGCAGAAGAGUCGAGUUGUGUAAGUUGUUCGCAUGAGGUUCCUUGAUUGGUGAAGUGUGUAGAGUUUAUCCAUAGUUUGGGGAAUGGAAAAUGGCAGAGUAGUGUGGAUGAAAUUGAGGAAAAGUUGGUGAAGCAACAGCUGUGCUUGAAUGCGAACAAAGUGUCAGUUCUGAUGACAUGGAGCGGGAGGAUGAGGGUCAAGGACUGGAAUGGCCGGUAGUGGAAAGACAUAGGAAGAAGAGGGAUCAUGGUACAGAAAGCAGUGGAGCGUCUAGUAAAGAAAGCAUAAAGAGGACCAAGGUAAGAAGCAAUAGUAGGGAUGUGUUGGAGUGGAAAAUGGUGAUAGUGUUUGAUGAGACCAAAGGGUCUCACUUACACACUAUCAGACUUACUAAUGCCAUAGAGAAUAUGUAUUGCUCUAUUGUGGUGUUGCCCAGCCAGUCUCCCCAGGUUAACAGCACCAUGGCAUGACUCCAAACCUUUUCUCCCAGGUACGUCAGGUAGGUACCUGUCUUAUUCACCAUUCAGUGAAUGAGGAGAAUACAGGAAUCACAAUGAGAAGCAUAUGGGGUCCAGGGCAGCAUAGGGCCACACUCCGCACUGAGUCCUCAGAAUCAAAUUCAGUGGUGAACUCACACUUCCAGCCAGCCGUAUCAACUAAGACCACCUGUCUACCAGCCACUUCACCCUGUCGUCUCACACUGUGCGCCAGUCUUUCAGUAUCAAACACCUUGCCCAGGAUGGUGUUCCCUGCCAUGCUCCUCCCAACACAGUUCGCACCCAGAAGCACAGCCCUCACCUCCACAUCAUGUUUACCUCCUCCUAUAAGGCAGACAAAAAGAUGGACAGACAAAGGGGAGAGAUGACAAUAUUUGUUUAUAGAGCAUUGAAUUUCACUAAUUGAUUAACACCCACCCCCCACAGAAAACAUUCAUCCCAUAGAUUCCAAACCUAUUCCCAAUAUACACUCACCACCCACAGUUGCUCUGUUCUUCUUCAUCUUCAUUAGCCUCAGCAUCCCUCAGUUCUUCACAUCCUAUCUCUUCUGCAGCAACUUUACAAUCAUAUCAUUGUGAAUUUGAUAACAACCACUCUGUGUUACCAUCCUCUCUAUAUUUUGCAACAGUCAGUGACCUGAGUCACAUUCUCCCUGUUUCUGUUGUCUAUGAUAUGCUACCUGUUCUCACAGUUUUCUACAAGCCUUUGAAGGAUGCCUUCCUCACUUGAAAUGUGCUGCUCUAAUGUCGUGUCCACAAGCCAAUUCCCUCUGGUAAAGAGCACCAUGGUGUGUCUCCAUACCCUCUGCUCAAGGAGCUGGUUCAGGUGUUCCUCCACUGUGUCUGUGUGCAGUAUGUGCAAGGAAAGCACAAGGAGGAAGGCAUGUGGGACACAGCAAGAGCAAUUUCCUGCUUGUCCUGUGCUGAGGUCACCGCCAACAAGUUAUUCCACCACCAGCCAGGUGUGUCUACCACAGUGGCCUGUCUGCCAGCAACAGCUGUCUGUCAGCUUACACACUGGGCAGUCCUCUUCGUUGUGUCAAACUCCUCCGCACCCAGGAUUGUGUUUCCUGCCAAGUUUUUGCCAGAAUGCCCUUCCCCAACAGCACAAGUUGAAGGUCUGCCUGUGUGAUGGGGGAGAGAGAAAUAAAGAAGCACAAAGUAAAUGACUGCCCUGGGGGAGUUCAGAUGAACACCCAGGUCUUCUGGACCUGCUCUAUCGAGAAGCACCUGACUGCGGUCUUCAAAACUCUUAUGCAUGCUGGAGCAUAAAAAGCUGUUGAAUUCUAGUUUUUCUUUACUUACACAUACACUGUGUUGACAGAAACAUUGCUCAGAUCUUGUCCCCUGGACCUUGGAGGACUUUUGGUGUGGAUGAUGAUCAGGAGAAAUUCCUGUAACUCCCCAAGCAGCUGAUUGGUCGACCCCAGGCUAAUUG